UGCUACAAGGAAUGGACGAGAUACUUUUCAGAGUCCAGAAAGGGACACACUCCGCUGCAUGGCAGAGCAUACUAUCAAAUGAUGGAAUGUCUUGGUCUUGUAAAAAUUCAUUCACCGAUGCGAGGUGAUCCUAGUAGGGUUUUAAAGUGGC
Long non-coding RNA from Lolium rigidum, 151 nucleotides. RefSeq lists it as uncharacterized. The transcript has 3 exons. NCBI's taxonomy places the organism in Eukaryota, Viridiplantae, Streptophyta, Magnoliopsida, Poales, Poaceae. The record is from RefSeq and is a predicted model, not a curated record.